AUUGAACGCUGGCGGCAUGCCUUACACGUGCAAGUCGAACGGCAGCACGGGUGCUUGCACCUGGUGGCGAGUGGCGAACGGGUGAGUAAUACAUCGGAACAUGUCCUGUAGUGGGGGAUAGCCCGGCGAAAGCCGGAUUAAUACCGCAUACGAUCCACGGAUGAAAGCGGGGGACCUUCGGGCCUCGCGCUAUAGGGUUGGCCGAUGGCUGAUUAGCUAGUUGGUGGGGUAAAGGCCUACCAAGGCGACGAUCAGUAGCUGGUCUGAGAGGACGACCAGCCACACUGGGACUGGAACACGGCCCAGACUCCUACGGGAGGCAGCAGUGGGGAAUUUUGGACAAUGGGCGAAAGCCUGAUCCAGCAAUGCCGCGUGUGUGAAGAAGGCCUUCGGGUUGUAAAGCACUUUUGUCCGGAAAGAAAUCCUUGACUCUAAUACAGUCGGGGGAUGACGGUACCGGAAGAAUAAGCACCGGCUAACUACGUG
Molecule: ribosomal RNA, 486 nt
Filed under: uncultured bacterium
Lineage: Bacteria
Description: partial 16S ribosomal RNA
Rfam family: Bacterial small subunit ribosomal RNA
Source: RNAcentral